UGGGGAAUUUUGCACAAUGGGGGAAACCCUGAUGCAGCGACGCCGCGUGAUUUAGAAGGCCUUCGGGUUGUAAAAAUCUUUUUUACGGGAUGAAAAUGACAGUACCGUAAGAAUAAGGUCCGGCUAAAUACGUGCCAGCAGCCGCGGUAAUACGUAUGGACCGAGCGUUGUCCGGAAUCAUUGGGCGUAAAGGGUACGUAGGCGGCCUAGUAAGUUAGAAGUGAAAUAAUAUAGUUCAACUAUAUAAAGCUUUUAAAACUGCUAGGCUUGAGAGAUGGAAGGGAAAGUGGAAUUCCUAGUGUAGCGGUGAAAUGCGCAGAUAUUAGGAAGAAUACCGGUGGCGAAGGCGACUUUCUGGUCAUCAUCUGACGCUGAGGUACGAAAGCGUGGGUAGCAAACAGG
This 402-nucleotide ribosomal RNA is filed under the name bacterium. Its description in RNAcentral is "partial 16S ribosomal RNA". It matches the Rfam family "Bacterial small subunit ribosomal RNA", at positions 355 to 776 of the family's 1533-position model. The record is from RNAcentral.